This 500-nucleotide ribosomal RNA is filed under the name uncultured bacterium. Its description in RNAcentral is "partial 16S ribosomal RNA". It matches the Rfam family "Bacterial small subunit ribosomal RNA", at positions 30 to 523 of the family's 1533-position model. The record is from RNAcentral.
AUUGAACGCUUGCGGCAUGCCUUACACAUGCAAGUCGAACGGCAGCACGGGAGCAAUCCUGGUGGCGAGUGGCGAACGGGUGAGUAAUAUAUCGGAACGUGCCCAGUAGUGGGGGAUAGCCCGGCGAAAGCCGGAUUAAUACCGCAUACGACCUAAGGGUGAAAGCGGGGGACCGUAAGGCCUCGCGCUAUUGGAGCGGCCGAUAUCAGAUUAGGUAGUUGGUUGGGUAAAAGCCUACCAAGCCAUCGAUCUUUAGCUGGUCUGAGAGGACGACCAGCCAGACGAGUACUGAGACACGGCCCAGGCUCCUACUGGAGGCAGCAGUGGGGAAUUUUGCACUAUGGGCGACGGCCUGAACCAGCCAUGCCGCGUGCAGGAAGAAGGCCUUCGGGUUGUAAACUGCUAUUGUCGGGAAAGAAACGAUCUGGGCUAAUACCCUGGGGUAAUGACGGUACCCGAAGAAUAAGCACCGGCUAACUACGUGCCAGCAGCCGCCGUAA